This 80-nucleotide ribosomal RNA is filed under the name Roseburia sp. RNAcentral's name for it is "partial 23S ribosomal RNA". It matches the Rfam family "Bacterial large subunit ribosomal RNA", at positions 2845 to 2925 of the family's 2925-position model. The record is from RNAcentral. Lineage: Bacteria; Bacillati; Bacillota; Clostridia; Lachnospirales; Lachnospiraceae.
CGACGAGGUAGAUAGGUCCGAGGUGGAAGUACAGUAAUGUAUGCAGCUGACGGAUACUAAUAGGUCGAAGGCUUGACCUU